GCCAGUGUAGCUUAAUUCAAAGCAUUACUCUGAAGCUGUAAAGAUGAGUCUUAAAAGACUCCACAGGCA
This 69-nucleotide transfer RNA is filed under the name Elopichthys bambusa (yellowcheek carp). Its description in RNAcentral is "tRNA-Phe". It matches the Rfam family "tRNA". From Rfam's summary of the family: Transfer RNA (tRNA) molecules are approximately 80 nucleotides in length. Their secondary structure includes four short double-helical elements and three loops (D, anti-codon, and T loops). Further hydrogen bonds mediate the characteristic L-shaped molecular structure. tRNAs have two regions of fundamental functional importance: the anti-codon, which is responsible for specific mRNA codon recognition, and the 3' end, to which the tRNAs corresponding amino acid is attached (by aminoacyl-tRNA synthetases). tRNAs cope with the degeneracy of the genetic code in two manners: having more than one tRNA (with a specific anti-codon) for a particular amino acid; and 'wobble' base-pairing, i.e. permitting non-standard base-pairing at the 3rd anti-codon position. Lineage: Eukaryota; Metazoa; Chordata; Actinopteri; Cypriniformes; Xenocyprididae. The record is from RNAcentral.